RNAcentral lists this ribosomal RNA (976 nucleotides) under uncultured Methanomicrobiales archaeon. RNAcentral's name for it is "bacterial SSU rRNA". It matches the Rfam family "Archaeal small subunit ribosomal RNA", at positions 42 to 1028 of the family's 1478-position model. Lineage: Archaea; Methanobacteriati; Methanobacteriota; Methanomicrobia; Methanomicrobiales. The record is from RNAcentral.
UCUAAAGCCAUGGCGAGUCGAGAGGUGCAAGACCUCGGCGCACUGCUCAGUGACACGUGGACAACCUACCCUGUGGAGGGGGAUAACCCCGGAAAACUGGGGAUAAUACCCCAUAGGUUAGGGAGGCUGGAAUGCCCCCUAGCUCAAAGGUCCGCCGCCACAGGAUGGGUCUGCGGCCGAUUAGGUUGUUGUUGGGGUAACGGCCCAACAAGCCUUUGAUCGGUACGGGUUGUGGGAGCAAGAGCCCGGAGAUGGAUUCUGAGACACGAAUCCAGGCCCUACGGGGCGCAGCAGGCGCGAAAACUUUACAAUGCGAGAAAUCGUGAUAAGGGAACCCCGAGUGCCCGUAAAUUCGGGCUGUCCGCCAGUGCAAAAAACUGGUGAAGAAAGAGCCGGGCAAGACCGGUGCCAGCCGCCGCGGUAAUACCGGCGGCUCGAGUGGUGGCCACUAUUACUGGGCUUAAAGCGUCCGUAGCUUGGUUGUUAAGUCUCCUGGGAAAUCCAUCGGCUCAACCGAUGGGCGUUCAGGAGAUACUGGCAACCUAGGGACCGGGAGAGGUGAGAGGUACUCCAGGGGUAGGAGUGAAAUCCUGUAAUCCUUGGGGGACCACCUGUGGCGAAGGCGUCUCACUAGAACGGCUCCGACAGUGAGGGACGAAAGCUGGGGGAGCAAACCGGAUUAGAUACCCGGGUAGUCCCAGCUGUAAACGAUGCGCGUUAGGUGUAUCGGUGACCACGAGUCACCGAGGUGCCGAAGAGGAAUCGUGAAACGUGCCGCCUGGGAAGUACGGUCGCAAGGCUGAAACUUAAAGGAAUUGGCGGGGGAGCACCACAACAGGUGGAGCCUGCGGUUUAAUCGGACUCAACGCCGGGAAGCUCACCGGAUAAGACAGCUGAAUGAUAGCCGGGUUGAAGACUCUGCUUGACUAGCUGAGAGGAGGUGCAUGGCCGUCGUCAGUCGUACUGAAGNUUNNUC